UGUUGACCUCGGAUCAGGUAGGAAUACCCGCUGAACUUAAGCAUAUCAAUAAGCGGAGGAAAAGAAACCAACAGGGAUUGCCCUAGUAACGGCGAGUGAAGCGGCAACAGCUCAAAUUUGAAAUCUGGCUCUCGGGCCCGAGUUGUAAUUUGUAGAGGAUGCUUUUGAUGCGGUGCCUUCCGAGUUCCCUGGAACGGGACGCCAUAGAGGGUGAGAGCCCCGUCUGGUUGGAUGCCAAAUCUCUGUAAAGCUCCUUCGACGAGUCGAGUAGUUUGGGAAUGCUGCUCUAAAUGGGAGGUAUAUGUCUUCUAAAGCUAAAUACCGGCCAGAGACCGAUAGCGCACAAGUAGAGUGAUCGAAAGAUGAAAAGCACUUUGAAAAGAGAGUUAAAAAGUACGUGAAAUUGUUGAAAGGGAAGCGUUUAUGACCAGACUUGGGCUUGGUUAAUCAUCUGGGGUUCUCCCCAGUGCACUUUUCCAGUCCAGGCCAGCAUCAGUUUUCGCCGGGGGAUAAAGGCUUCGGGAAUGUGGCUCUCUCCGGGGAGUGUUAUAGCCCGUUGCGUAAUACCCUGGCGGGGACUGAGGUUCGCGCAUCUGCAAGGAUGCUGGCGUAAUGGUCAUCAACGAC
RNAcentral lists this ribosomal RNA (627 nucleotides) under Fusarium incarnatum. Its description in RNAcentral is "eukaryotic LSU rRNA". It matches the Rfam family "Eukaryotic large subunit ribosomal RNA", at positions 1 to 648 of the family's 3401-position model. The record is from RNAcentral. Lineage: Eukaryota; Fungi; Ascomycota; Sordariomycetes; Hypocreales; Nectriaceae.